UCAGAUUGAACGCUGGCGGCAGGCCUAACACAGUGCAAGUCGAGCGGAAACGGCAGUAUUGAAGCUUCGGUGGAUUUACUGGACGUCGAGCGGCGGACGGGUGAGUAACGGCUGGGAACCUGCCCUGACGAGGGGGAUAACCGUUGGAAACGACGGCUAAUACCGCAUAAUGUCUUGAUUCGUUAGAGUCAGGACCAAAGGUGGCCUCUACAUGUAAGCUAUCGCGUUGGGAUGGGCCCAGUUAGGAUUAGCUAGUUGGUAAGGUAAUGGCUUACCAAGGCAACGAUCCUUAGCUGGUUUGAGAGGAUGAUCAGCCACACUGGGACUGAGACACGGCCCAGACUCCUACGGGAGGCAGCAGUGGGGAAUAUUGCACAAUGGGGGAGACCCUGAUGCAGCCAUGCCGCGUGUGUGAAGAAGGCCUUCGGGUUGUAAAGCACUUUCAGCAGUGAGGAAGGUCGUGUACUUAAUACGUGCACGGCUUGACGUUAGCUGCAGAAGAAGCACCGGCUAACUCCGUGCCAGCAGCCGCGGUAAUACGGAAGGUGCGAGCGUUAAUCGGAAUUACUGGGCGUAAAGCGCAUGCAGGCGGUUUGUUAAGUCAGAUGUGAAGCCCGGGGCUCAACCUCGGAACCGCAUUUGAAACUGGCAGGCUAGAGUCUUGUAGAGGGGGGUAGAAUUUCAGGUGUAGCGGUGAAAUGCGUAGAGAUCUGAAGGAAUACCAGUGGCGAAGGCGGCCCCCUGGACAAAGACUGACGCUCAGAUGCGAAAGCGUGGGUAGCAAACAGGAUUAGAUACCCUGGUAGUCCACGCCGUAAACGCUGUCUACUUGGAGGUUGAGGUUUUAGACUUUGGCUUUCGGCGCUAACGCAUUAAGUAGACCGCCUGGGGAGUACGGCCGCAAGGUUAAAACUCAAAUGAAUUGACGGGGGCCCGCACAAGCGGUGGAGCAUGUGGUUUAAUUCGAUGCAACGCGAAGAACCUUACCUACUCUUGACAUCCAGCGAAGCCUUUAGAGAUAGAGGCGUGCCUUCGGGAGCGCUGAGACAGGUGCUGCAUGGCUGUCGUCAGCUCGUGUUGUGAAAUGUUGGGUUAAGUCCCGCAACGAGCGCAACCCUUAUCCUUGUUUGCCAGCACGUAAUGGUGGGAACUCCAGGGAGACUGCCGGUGAUAAACCGGAGGAAGGUGGGGACGACGUCAAGUCAUCAUGGCCCUUACGAGUAGGGCUACACACGUGCUACAAUGGCAGAUACAGAGGGCAGCGAGACAGCGAUGUUUAGCGAAUCCCUUAAAGUUUGUCGUAGUCCGGAUUGGAGUCUGCAACUCGACUCCAUGAAGUCGGAAUCGCUAGUAAUCGUGGAUCAGAAUGCCACGGUGAAUACGUUCCCGGGCCUUGUACACACCGCCCGUCACACCAUGGGAGUGGGCUGCACCAGAAGUAGAUAGCUUAACCUCGGAGGGC
RNAcentral lists this ribosomal RNA (1462 nucleotides) under Salinivibrio sp. AR647. RNAcentral describes it as "bacterial SSU rRNA". It matches the Rfam family "Bacterial small subunit ribosomal RNA". Lineage: Bacteria; Pseudomonadati; Pseudomonadota; Gammaproteobacteria; Vibrionales; Vibrionaceae. The record is from RNAcentral.